Transfer RNA from Synechococcus sp. CC9311, 82 nucleotides. It matches the Rfam family "tRNA". From Rfam's summary of the family: Transfer RNA (tRNA) molecules are approximately 80 nucleotides in length. Their secondary structure includes four short double-helical elements and three loops (D, anti-codon, and T loops). The record is from Rfam. NCBI's taxonomy places the organism in Bacteria, Bacillati, Cyanobacteriota, Cyanophyceae, Synechococcales, Synechococcaceae.
GCGGUUGUGGCGGAAUUGGUAGACGCGCAUGUUUCAGGUACAUGUGUCUUCGGACGUGGGAGUUCAAGUCUCCCUAACCGCA